CCUACGGGUGGCAGCAGUGGGGAAUAUUGGACAAUGGGGGCAACCCUGAUCCAGCCAUGCCGCGUGUGUGAAGAAGGCCCUCGGGUUGUAAAGCACUUUCAGUGAGGAAGAACGCCUGGUGGUUAAUACCCAUCAGGAAAGACAUCACUCACAGAAGAAGCACCGGCUAACUCCGUGCCAGCAGCCGCGGUAAUACGGAGGGUGCGAGCGUUAAUCGGAAUUACUGGGCGUAAAGCGCGCGUAGGUGGCUUGAUAAGCCGGUUGUGAAAGCCCCGGGCUCAACCUGGGAACGGCAUCCGGAACUGUCAAGCUAGAGUGCAGGAGAGGAAGGUAGAAUUCCCGGUGUAGCGGUGAAAUGCGUAGAGAUCGGGAGGAAUACCAGUGGCGAAGGCGGCCUUCUGGACUGACACUGACACUGAGGUGCGAAAGCGUGGGUAGCUAACAGGAUUAGAUACCCGGGUAGUC
This 465-nucleotide ribosomal RNA is filed under the name Vreelandella stevensii. RNAcentral's name for it is "partial 16S ribosomal RNA". It matches the Rfam family "Bacterial small subunit ribosomal RNA", at positions 338 to 795 of the family's 1533-position model. Lineage: Bacteria; Pseudomonadati; Pseudomonadota; Gammaproteobacteria; Oceanospirillales; Halomonadaceae. The record is from RNAcentral.